This 1382-nucleotide long non-coding RNA is filed under the name Homo sapiens (human). RNAcentral describes it as "non-protein coding lnc-MYO19-1:2". The record is from RNAcentral. Lineage: Eukaryota; Metazoa; Chordata; Mammalia; Primates; Hominidae.
GCUGGCCGCGCUGGGGACCCCGCUGGAGAAAUUUGCGCCCAGAGGGUGCGGGGCCGCCCUGGCCGUCCCGCCCGUGGGCCCGGCGCCCUUCUCGGAGCCCAGCCAUUCCGCUAGACCCGAACUAGGACUGGUAGGAGGGGUGAUCGGCCCAACCUCAGGCCCCAGCCGCGGGCCGGGAAGGCUUCCCCACGGACGAGGGGCAAGCCCCUCGACGUCAGGGUGUCGUCUAUGUAGAGGGGAAUCUGCCUCCUCUCAAAGGGGAAUUCUUUCAGCGAGUCAAGCCCGUCUGAUUCGGGGCUGACUCAGGGCAGAGGCCCAGAGAGGACCUGGAUAGGUUGCGAGAAGUCGAGAUCAGAGGGGGCGGAAGGCAGUGAGAAAAGGGAGACGAGCAUCGGGGGGUGAGAGACAAACUCAGGUCUGGCUCUUGGCCCUUGACGCCACUGAAUUCGCUUCCCACGGUGGGAAGAGGAGAAAAGGGCCCUGACACCGCGGCUCGCCAGGGGCCCGCUGCGUAGCUGCAUCCCGAUCCCGCUGAGGGGACAGCAAAUAGUGAAGUGCUGAUAGCUUGUGGUUGUCGUUACACUGGAAGGAAAUAGAAAACCGGACAGUGGUGUGUGUGUGUGCGUCUUGGCCAAAGGAACUUCUUGGGCUGGGUUAAGCGUGAGCCAACGUGCCCAGCCUAAACCUUUUAGACUUCAUUAGGAUUCUGGUUGGUAAAGAACAUUAAAAAUGACAAGCUCAUUAUAUAGGUGCUAAUUUUAAUUACUUUGACUACUGAACACACGCCAGGUACUAACAAAGAAGGGAGUAUUCACCCUGGGGAUUUAAAUCUGUGAAAAGGUAUUAAAACAUAUAUAAAACAUAAUAAAAUGAAAUCCCAAAGGUCUCUUUCCAUCUGAGCUUACUUUCCCUAAUUUGGGUUUGUCUCUUAGGUCCACCGGGCAUACUUAGUAUCUUUGGACAAAUAGGAAUUCAAUGAAAACGUAUUCUUAAAGGCGAAAAAGGUGGAUUUGCUAGGUAAGUUGCUGUUUCUCAAGGAGGUAGCCUGGGUGCUAUAAAUCCAAUCCAAUCUAAUCUAAUCUAAUACCAUACAAUAUAAUACAAUCGAUACAAUAAAAUCAAUAUCCCAAGGAAAACGCUUAGAAAAUUAUUUCAUGGCAAAAUAAUUUUUCAAAGUUUUCACUGUGCAUCUUCCUGGUUUUAGAGUAGGCACUUAUUUUUAUUUUCACUAUUGCUCUAUUUUUAGCCAUAACCACCAGUACUGCAGCAAAUACUUCUUGAGAAUUAUCCUAUGUACUUUAAAAUGAAAAGUAUCUGCUUUUAGAGAGCAAACCUCUAAUUGACGAAAUAUAUAAUUGCUACAUUAAAAGACAGUUGUCUGU